CUACGAGAAGUAAAACAAAGGGUCCAGUGUUCAAAAAGCCCCGCAGCAGUUCGGGGCUUUUUACUAUGUGACCUCUGCUGCACCGUUUCGACGGCCGGGCAGUCAACACACUGGGCGCUAUGCCCUUUUUUU
This is a regulatory RNA element of 132 nucleotides. It matches the Rfam family "Gammaprotebacteria rimP leader". The record is from Rfam.